GCCCGGUUAGCUCAAUCGGUAGAGCGUGAGACUCUUAAUCUCAAGGUUGCGGGUGAGUAGCAAUGAUAAACCACCAUGGCCACCACAACGAUACUAAUCCUGUGUGUCUAGGUUCGACCCCCGCAUCGGGCU
Xylaria digitata is the source of this 132-nucleotide non-coding RNA. Lineage: Eukaryota; Fungi; Ascomycota; Sordariomycetes; Xylariales; Xylariaceae. The record is from the annotation of a GenBank genome assembly.